Ostrea edulis (European flat oyster) is the source of this 3080-nucleotide long non-coding RNA. RefSeq lists it as uncharacterized. NCBI's taxonomy places the organism in Eukaryota, Metazoa, Mollusca, Bivalvia, Ostreida, Ostreidae. The record is from RefSeq and is a predicted model, not a curated record. The transcript has 2 exons.
AAAAAUAUAUAUGUAGAAAUAGCUUCCAGAAACCAACUAAAAGAUAUAACAGAGAGGCGAUGAUUUCAUCUAAGACAUGCAAGUGAAAUUGACAAUGAAGCUAGUGAUUUUUUGGUAGGUAAUAUGGAUGAAGAUUUUGUAGACAAUGCUCUGCAAGUAGGCAGACUAUGCCGCAUGAUAGGGGAUAACCUAAACGAAACCUACGCGUUCAGAAGAAAUCUCGUCGUGCUCAUUAUUCCAUGGAACUUUCUUUUCAAUAUAUGCAGUACCACAAUCAAAAUGAUGGCUCUUAUAUGUCGGAUAAACUUUUACAGAUACUGAAGAUAUUUCAUCACAGUUCUAAUUUGAUUGAGAUCACAAAGGAAACAGGAAGAUAUUCAGAUACAUGUUUCAUGGAAUGGAAGAGGAAUAUAGAGACAAUAUCCGAUAGAAUUCAAAAUUAUGUUCUAUAUCAUAUACUGAGUUGAAAAUAAUCAUUAAGUUUGAUGAAUGCUGGUGAAUAAACAUGAUGACCAUGUUUAGGAAGAAAAAAGUGAGACGAAAGAUUUUUCCGAUACUGACGGAUGAAUCACAAUGCAGCUCCAUCCUCAUUGAUUUUUCACCUUUUUCUCCAUAGGAAGCAGCAUUUCGUCUAUUUACAGAGGCUUAUGUAACCCGAGCAGGUUUUACGAUAUGGACUGGUCUAAAAAAAAAAAUCACAGCGACAAUAUUCCACGUGGGGAUGGAAUUAACGCUCUAGAUAAACUGUUGCUAGGGUAUACAUAACAAUGCCAGCAAGACUGUACAAAAUAUAUGUUGUUGUGUGCAUUGCAUAUGUUAAGGUUCAUUACAUUUUUUGGUGGCUUUUAUCUAAUUUAUUCAAAUGAUAGGUGAAAAUAGGUAACCUGUACAUCUGACCACUUCCCAUGCAAAUGUAAACAUUCUUAGACCAUCCUAACCUAAGUGUUUUGUUUUGUGGGGUUUUCCCCCAAAAGAGAAUUCCCAUGAUCUCAACUUCGGCAAUACCGGUAAAUUUUGUAUGUAUGCAUGUUGCUUUUCUUGAAUGUGUGAUAAAAUUUUCGGUAUAUUUUUGUAGAUGGCAAAUGUCAUUUCAUUAUUACUAUGCAUUUCUUGUGCUAAUCAAAUUCACGCAGUCUUUAUUUUCUCCAACUUGUCGUGCUGUUAGAUGAAAUGUUGUAAAUUAAAAACAAUCAUGAAUAUCACAUGUGAAAAGAUUUCUUGUGGGGAUGGAGUUUUUUUUAUGAGGCCAGAAGCUAUAUUAGUAAGAAAGUGAAAUACAAUUGAAUUGUAAUACGAGGGCGAGUCAAUAAGUAACCAGCCUAUCCCAUUUCCGAUUGACCGCGACGGUCACAAUUUUCAUGCCAUGUAUAUACCUGGGUACAAAACUGCACCUAUAUUGAGUCAUUCUUUAAUAAGAUAUUGAAAGUCAAACAUGGCUAGUGAUGCAAAGGCAUUGCUUUUCAUCUAAAGUUGAGUACCGUGCUAUAAUUCGGUACUUGUAUUUAAAAGGUAAAACAAGGAAAUACAUGACAAGUUAUUCGAUGUUUAUGGGUCUUCUGCACCAUCUUAUGCUCAGGUUAACUUCUGGAUAGGGGAAUUGAAACGCGGUAGAACGUCUUUAGAAGAUGAAGCCAGGUCUGGACGCCCACUGGAUACCACCGACUAAAACAUGUGUAAGAAAGUUCGGGAUCUGGUAUACUCUGAUAGGCGAAUUCAGGUGGAAGAAAUAGCGCAGGCAUUAGGCAUUUCACAUAGUAGUGUUUCAACAAUCUUACAUGAUCGUUUAGGUAUGUGCAAGCUAACAGCCCGUUGGGUCCCCAAAUCUCUUAGCGAUGAACAAAUGGCAACCAGAGCAUCAGUAUAUAGCGCCUUGUUGAAGUGUUUUAUGUCAAAAAAUGAUUUUCUUUUGCGUCCUUUUGCAUCUGGUGACUGUAGAUGAGACUUGGGUUCAUUAUUAUAAGCCAGAAAAUAAAGCUCAGAGUCGUCAGUGGGUAGGGCCUGGGUCCCCGAGGUCAAAGAAGUUCAAGACGCAACCAUCUGCUGGUAAGGUGAUGGCCACAGUAUUUUGGGACGCAAAAGGUGUUAUUAUGUUGAACUUUUUACUCAAGAGAAGUACAAUGCAAACUUGCUAGACCAGCUGAGAACCGUCAUCCGUGAAAAACGCCGAGAUAAGCUCUCUACAGGUGUUUUGCUGCAACAAGGCAACGCGAGAGUCCACACUUGCAAAGUUGCAAUGGAUGCUGUAGAGCGAAACGGGUAUGAAUUAAAACCACAUCCUGCCUAUUUGCCUGACUUAGCUCCUAGCAACUUCUUCCUAUUCCCAAACUUGAAAAAGGAUAUCCGUGGACGUCAUUCCAGUCUGACGAAGAAGUCGUGACGGCAGUUGAUGAGUGGGUCAGUGGAAGGGAUCCUGACUUUUUCAGUUCUGGGCUGAUGGCACUUGAACACCGUUGGUCAAAGUGCAUCACACUAGAGGGCAAUUACAUCGAAAAAGAAGAGGUGGAUCUCAACCAGAAAUAAAUUAGGCUGGUUACUUAUUAACUCGCCCUCGUAUGACGCACGUUGAAGUAUUGCUCCAAUUUACACAUUAAAUAUGCCGCGUCUUAAUAAUAGAAAAUCCUUUUUCAGCAACAAGAUUUUUGACAGGAUUUUUUUGUACAUGUACUUUUAAACUUAUAAAUGUGUAAUUAGAUUUUAUAAAGUAAUUGUAAAUUACCAUAGAUUUACACACAAGCUCGCACGCACACACAGUCCAUUUAGAUUUUUAUCUCAUGCCUCCACCUUUCAGGAAGGAAUAUGGUGCAGAUUGAGAGAGUCAAAGAACAUUUGUAUUCUUUAAUUGUCUUUUAUUGUGUGUAUUUAUAAAUAAAUUGGUUGAAUGAAAUCUUAAUAAAAUGACAUAGAAUACAAUGCAUUAUACGCUAUUCGGAAUUUAUGCAGUUUCACAACUCCAAACAGUUGUUCAGCCGAGGUUAUCAAAUGUGCUACGUCUAGUAUUGAAUCAGGCAGUUUGCUUUUUGUACAUGAUACGGGAAAUGUUAAUUAGUAAUAGCAGCAAAAGUUAUUUGAAUAAAACCAAC